RNAcentral lists this small nuclear RNA (104 nucleotides) under Phocoena sinus (vaquita). The record is from RNAcentral. Lineage: Eukaryota; Metazoa; Chordata; Mammalia; Artiodactyla; Phocoenidae.
GUGGUCACUUCAGCAGCACAUAUGCUAAAAUUGGAACGAUACAGAGAUCAGCAUGGCCCCUGCACAAGGAUGACACACAAAUUCGUGAAGUGUUCCGUAUUUUU